AUUCACAAUCUUUCUCAUCAGCCGAACUACAACAUUAUAGUACUAAACAUAAGCAGAAUGAUUAUAACUAGAGAGUAUGCUUAUGAUUUAUAUGUGGUUUACAGGUAUAAACUAUUAUAAAUUGGCCGUUGCGAAAGAUCGUGACUCUAUUUUUACGAUGUUAUCGGCGAUAUGGCAAAUCGGAAAUGGAUGACAUGGAAACCUAUAUCUAUAUACAAUUUUUAGUUCGGAGACGGAGUCUGUCUGACCAGUGACCACGGUCCGAUAUUCAACAAUGUCAAUGAAUUCAAAUUGCUUGUUGACGGAAAUAAAUAUUGUUCACGAAUUGAGUUCAAAACAGCUAACCAAUCCAUGCAUAGCCAAUUCAAGGUCAACGUCACGCAGCGCAUAUCCCUCGCUUUAUUUAACAAUUAUAUUCGCCGAAGGCGAGGUGAUUAUCUGUGAAUAAAAACCGAGACGAAGUCGAGGUUUUUAUUCACGAUAAUCACUGAGCCUGAGGUGAAUAAUUGUUUUGUAUAAUUCAUAGGUGCAUGUUUAUUUGGAAAAAAAAUAAAAAAUAUACAAGUCUUCGUCAUUUAAUUGGCAAAACGGCUUCAGCCAUAAUUUCCAAAAUCGCUUAGGUGAUUAUCGCGUUAUAAUGAUCUCAACGGCAACCAAUCAGAGUAGAGAAUUUCAAUUUGUGCUUUGAAUAAAAGUCUUUGUCCCUUGAAAAGGUUUGCACUCUGCACUUUGAACUAAAUUGUAGUUUGUUAGUUUUUUCAAAGAAACUUGCCUUCAAUAAUUGCUUUUUUGGUAAAUAUUCCAGGAUUUUUUACAUGCACUUGACAAACUUUUCACUGCAUUUAAUUUUAACUUAAGCAUGGAUUAUGGCCUGUCUUAUAAUUUAUUUGUUCCAAAAUUAUUAUACUUCUUGGUUACCUAUCAACGUUAUCCUAUAUAAUAACAGUCUAUUUCAGCAUGAUUUUUGAUAGGCCGGUUAUUAAUUCCAGGUUGACCAGAAAAAUUUUAAAGCGGCUUAUACUAUAACAGACUCAACAAUGUCUCAUUCACAGCAUAGUCAUCAAGAUUUGAUGAUCUGGAAACUUAACAGAAGUGUUUGUUAUUUGUUUUGUCUGAAUUUAUGUUAAUUUGUGCGCGGUCACGGUGUAUAUGCGGAUAGCGUUCAUUGUAUUUUCGCAUAUAUACACACGCAAAAAUCUCACAUCAUGUAGCAAGUCUGCCAACAAGUUGUCUUUACACUGCUUGUCACAAGUUGUCAACAAGUUUGCAUGGAACAAGCUGUUAACAAUUUGUAACAACCUUGUUGAUAUUAUCAGGCUUGUUACAAGGUUGUUCUAACAAGUCCGAACAGUCAUGAUAUAGAAGUAUUGUUAUCACCUUGUGUCGUCAACCUUGUAACAUUCUUGUUUAUCAUGCAGUACUGCAUGUAUCAGACUUGUUAGAACAACUUUGUGACAAGUCUGAUAAUGCCAUCAAAGCUUGUUACAAAGCUUGUUACAGCUUGUUCCAAACUUGUUACAACAACUGGGAACAAGCAGUGCGAAAACAAGUUGUUGACAGCUUGUGAACAGAUUUGUAACAACUUGUUUGCAGACUUGUUACAACUUGUGCGUUUUUACGUGUGUAAUUAAAUUAAGUAACCGUACCAUCCAAUAGGGAUCGAUAGCUGAGAUGAAACUUGCAGCCACGAUAAUAACAUUUGAUGAAGUUGAGACAAAAGAUUUGUGCACGGUGAGAUACAGUUCAACAUCAAACAAAGGUCUUCUAUUUUGUGGCUUUGAAGUUUGCUGGGAUUCCAGAGCAUCAUAUCUUAAUAGACCUUGUUCACAGCGGCGAUUUAAUCAAUCCGAAAUUGAUUCGGAGCAGUUUCGGGCCAAGUUGUGGACAACUAGAAAGGAGUCCGAUUUUAGAUCGAUCUAAACUAGAGCGCUUCUCAGAUCGGUUAAUGUUUUACAACCGAGCUAUAAUUUCUUGCUCAGCUAGCAUGGUUAAUUCGCCGGUUAAUUCAUUCAAGUUUUUAAAUUAAGAAGUCCAAGGCCGAACCGGCCUCGGACCGGUUUGAAAUCGCUAGGUGUGAACGUCCUCUCAUUUGACAGAUUGAACUUUGGGCCUAAACGCACAUAUCGAAAGUGUGGCCAAUCAUGACGUGGUGUUUGCUAGAAACACGAAGUCGAAUCGUAUGCAAUUAUAUCGAUCACAAUGCGUGAACCCGGCUGUGAAAAAAGUAUACUAAAAACUUUGACACUGACAUUGAUAGUAUAAAAAGGCCGUUUCACCAGUUUCCGUUGGUAGGCCUGCAAAAUACAAGGACAAAUUCGACGUUUCGAGCGAAUUAGGCCCUUCGUAACUUCCCGGCGGCAAAGUCGAAGGGCCUUUGCUCGAACUGUCGAAUUUCUCCUUCUCCUUGUCCUUGUAUAUUUUUAGAUAAUUGCAUACCUACCGUACGAAAGUUUUGUUAUUAUUGUCAUUUUACCUACACUGGCACAAACCGUUAAGAUUACUAAAAGUAAGAAUACCCUAUCGCUGAAAUUAAUAAUUUAAAUUCGUCCAAUAAUGCAAUAAUUUUACUUUUCUUCAGCAGAUUUUUCUUGUUGAAGCAUGUCAUAUCCUUG
Molecule: long non-coding RNA, 2612 nt
Filed under: Paramuricea clavata
Lineage: Eukaryota; Metazoa; Cnidaria; Anthozoa; Malacalcyonacea; Plexauridae
Source: RNAcentral